Long non-coding RNA from Alligator mississippiensis (American alligator), 4992 nucleotides. RefSeq lists it as uncharacterized. Lineage: Eukaryota; Metazoa; Chordata; Crocodylia; Alligatoridae. The record is from RefSeq and is a predicted model, not a curated record. The transcript is spliced from 2 exons.
GCCCGCGCGUGCGCAGCGUGUGCUGGGCUCAGGCCUCCGCGGGCCGCUCCUCUCGUGGCGCUGCGGGGCACGGGGUCGAGGUUGUCCCCUGGAGCGCGCGCAUGCACAGCCCCUCCUGUCCCUGGCGUUGCGUGAGUGUCCCGAGGAUUGUGUCGGCACACGCUUAGUGAUCCCCUCCAGUAAGGGGCUACGUCUGUGUGGGCCCAAGCCUACAGCACCCCGUGCAUACCAAAUACGCCUGCUCUGCAUCUCAAGACCCCGUUCUGGGGCUGGGCUGGUGACCUGUAGGAAGCAGGUGCCGCACAGGAUGGGAUUUCUUUCUUGCUUUGGGUUUUAUUUUUUUUUCUAACCUCUUAAAAGCUAGAGCAUUAUAACCCAGACCGCUGCCUUAACUGGCACUUCCAUCUUGAACUGUUGAAGCCAGUAAGAAUGCCAGAGCUGCCCUGCGAUCUUCAUUCAACCCCCGUCUGCGUAGCCUUUAUAGUAUGGUCCUCAAUAAACUGAUUGCAGCCUGCUCCACAGAAGCCCUCUUGUUGUUCAGGACACAGCUUGAGCCAACUCACCAACCCCAGUCACUGUGCUACCUGUAUGCACCCCAAUGAGGACCUGGAUUUUGGGCUGGGAUUAUACCCAGAAACCCUUCUUGGGCCACCUCAGAUCACACCUCUGUGCCACCGGGGGAUGCUUCUGGACAUCUCUGACUAGAGAUUUGCCUGUCGCAAAAUGCAGUUUUGCUGUGCCAGGCUGCCAACAAACAGCACCCCAGCCACUGCUAAAUACAUGGAACUGAAGGGAGCUGGAUUUUGGGCUGGGAUUAUAGCUGGAAAUCCAUCCUGGACCACCCCAGAACAUGUCUCUGUGCCAUCGCGGUACUGUCCUGGACAUGUUUGAGCAGAGACUUGUCUGGCCCAAAGCAUGGUUUGGCUGUGUCAGGCUGCCAACACACACCACCCCCCAGAUACUGUGAUAAGUAUCUGGAACUGAAUAAGAACCUGGAUUUUGGGCUGGGAUUAUACCCAGAAAUCCUUCUUGGGCUACACCAGACCGCACAUCUGUGGCACCGGGGGACUGUCCUGGACAUCUCUGACCAGAGACCUGCCCGGCCCAAAGUUCAGUUCAGCUGUGCCAGGCUGCCAACAGACAGCACCCCAGCCACUGUGCUAAGGAUCUGGAACCAAAUAAGGAACUGGAUUUUGGGCUGGGAUUAUACCCAGAAUCCCUUCUUGGGCCACCCCAGACCAUGUCCCUGUGCUACCAGGGGACUCUCCUGGACAUCUCUGAAUAGAGACUUCCCUGGCCCAAAGCACAGUUUGGCAGUGCCAGGCUGCCUAGAGGCAGUACCCCAGCUGCUGUGCUAAGUAUAAGGAACUGGAGUUUGGGCUGGGAUUAUACCCAUAAACCCUUCUUGGGCCACCCCAUACAAAACCUCUGUGGCACUGGAGGACUCUCCUGCAGAUCUCUGACCAGAGAUUUGCCCGGCCCAAAAUGAGGUUUGGCUGUGCCAGGGUGCCAACUAACAGCACCCAAGCCACUGACCUAAGUGUAUGGAACCGAGUAAGGAACUGGAUUAUGGGCUGGCAUUAUACCCAGAAAUUCUUCUUGGGCCACUCCAGACCACACCUCGGUACCACCAGGGGAUGUUUCUGGACAUCUCUGAAUAGAGGCCUGCCCAGUUCCAAAGUGCGGUUUGGCCGUACCAGGCUGCCAAAACACAGCACCCCAGCCACUGUGCUAAAUUAAUGGACCUGAAUAAGGAAUUGGAUUUUGGGCUGGUAUUAUAGCUAGAAGUUCUUCUUAAACCACCCCAAACCAUGUCUGUGUGCUACUGGGGAAUGCUUCUGGGCACCUCUGACCAGAGAUUUGCCCGGCCCAAAGCAUGAUUUGGCCGUGCCAAGGUGCCAACAGACAGGACCCCAGCCACUGUGCUAAGUAUAUGGAACUAAAUAAGGAACUGGAUUUUGGCCUGAGAUUAUACCCAAAAAUUCUUCCUGGGCCACCCCAGACUAUGUCUGUGCCACUGGGGGACUCUCGUGGACAUCUCUGAACAGAGACUUGCCUGGCCCAAAGCGUGGUUUGGCUGUGCCAGGCUGCCAACAGACAGCACCCCAGACACUGUGCUAAAUAUAUGGACCUGGAAUUUGGGCUGGGAUUAUACCCAUAAUUCCUUUUUGGGCCAAAUCUGGGUAUAAUCCCAGCCCAUAAUCCAGUUCCUUAUUCAGGUGCAUAAAGUUAGCACAGUGGCUGGGAUGCUGUCUGUUGGCAGCCUGGCAUGGCUGAACUGCACUUUGGGCUGGGCAAGUCUCUGGUCACAGACAUCCAGGAUAGUCUCCUGGUGGCAUAGAGGUGUGGUCUGGGGUGGCCCAAGAAGGAUUUCUGGGUAUAAUUCUAGCCCAAAAUCCAGUUCUUUAUUCAGUUCUAUUUAUUCAGCACAGUGUCUUGGGGGUUGGUGACAGUUGGCAACCUGGCGCGGCUAAACCGCAUCUUGGGCCGGGCAAGUCUAUUCAGAGAUGUCCAGAAGAGCCCCUCGGUGCCAGAGAGGUGUGGUCUGGGGUGGCCCAAGAAGGAUUUCUGGGUAUAAUCCCAGCCCAAAUUCCAGUUCCUUAUUCAGGUCCAGAUACUUAGCACAGUGUCUGGGGUGCUGUGUUUUGGCAGCCUGGUACAGCCAAACCACGCUUUGGGCUAGGCAAGUCUCUAUUCAGAGAUGACCAGAAGCAUCCCCUGGUGGCACCGAGGUGUGGUCUGGGGUGGCCUAAGAAGGAUUUCUGGGUAUAAUCACAGCCCAUAAUCCAGUUCUUUAUUCAGUUCCAUAUAUUUAGCAUGGUGGUUUAGGUGCUGUCUGUUGGCAACCUGGCACGGCCAAGCUGCGCUUUGGGCCAGGCAAGUCUCUCGUCACAAAUGUCCAGGACAGUCCCCCAAUCGUGCAGAUGUAUUUUGAUGGGUGGUCCAAGCAGAAUUUCUAGCCAUAAUCCCAGCCCAAAAGCCAGUUCCUUAUUCAAGCCAUUAUACUUGGUAUAGUGGGCAUGGGGGCUGUUAGCUGGCAACCUGGCAUGGCCAAACCGUGCUUUGGGCCAGGCAGGACUGUGGUCAUGUUUCUUUGGGACAAUCCCCCAGUGGCAUCGCCACAAAAUUUGGGGUGGUCUAAAUAGUAUUUUUUCCCAUAAUCCCAUCCUAAUCUGACUUUUGUUUAGGGCUCUGUACUUAAUGUGAGACAUUAUUUUACUUAUUAAUUAGUAUAUAUGCAUAGCUAAUGAUAUUCUGUCUCUUUAGGAUGUGUAAUUCAUUAAUAACACAUUUUUAUUGGGUCUAGAUGAGCUUUGAAAAAGGAUCUGGGAACCGGGAAUAAGGAACCAGGAAUAAGGAAUAGGAAACUGGGAAUAAGGAACCAACUUCAGUCUCAUCCCAGUCGGAAGAUAAUGUACUAGGCCUGUGCGAGUCGUCAGUGAUCCGAUCCGGCUUCGGGUCCAGCCACUUCGGAUGCCCGCGAUCCGAUCCGGAGCUCCAGACCGGGUUUCUCGAUCCAGCCGAAGCAGUUCCGAAGCUUUGGAGCCACCUUGGAGAUCCGGCCAUAGGGUAUAAUGGGGAAUCAAUGAAAUAUCUAUAACUUUGUUGUUUUUUGUCCGUUUUGUAUGAAACUUGCAGGGAUUGUAGCCUCUGCUGAGAGCAUGAAACCUGUCAAGUUUCAAGAAGAUUGGUAUAGGGGUUUGGGCGGAACUGUACCCCAAAUUCAUGAAAGCCAAACUCAUGUCACAACUGUGUUACAACACAGGGGGGUCAAAACUGCAGGGCUGGUAGGUCUUACUGAGGCCACAAAGUCUGCCAAGUUUCAAGAGGAUCCGUGCAGGGGUUUGGGGGGAACUGCACCUCAAGCUGUGGACAAGCAAAACUCGUGCCAUGGGUGACACUGGGUGUGUUAGGCGCAGCAGGGUGACAGCUGCAGGGAUGGUGGCCCAUGCUGAGGCCACAAAGUCUGCCAGCUGUCAAAGAGAUCGGUGCAGGGGGGUUCUGGGGCCUGGCACCCCUAGCUCCUGACAGGCAAAACUCGAACCAAGACUGUGUCUUUCUUGCGGCAGUUGAUUGUAUUGAUUCUUUCCUCUCCUUAGCCUGGUUUUGUACGUGCUAAUUGAUGCUCGUUAAGUCGUUAUGUAAUAGCUAGGUCCUGUGUGUUGAGCUGGUCCCUGAGUCCCUGGUCCCUGAGUGAAUCAUGAUUGAUUGAUUGAUUGGUAACUGGUAAUACAGCAACUUAGCAGCCAGACCUACAGUAGUGUCUCCCCUCCCUGCCCCAAGACAGACACAGUCGGUCCCACAAGCCCCCAUGGCACCAGUUUUGCUUGUCCACUGCUUGAGGUGCAGUUCCCCCCAAACCCCUGCACCAAUUUUCUUGAAACUUGGCAGUCUUCACCCUCGCUGCAGACCCUACCACCCCUGAAAAUUUCAUCCAAAUCAAACAAAAAACAACAAAGUUAUAGAUAUUUUAUUGUUUCCCCAUUAUACCCUAUGACCGGAUGUCCGAGGUGGCUCCGAAGCUCUUCGGGAGCUCCGAACUGCUUCAGGAAGCUGAACGAGGCCAACGCUUCGACUCGGAUGUGCUGCUUCGGACCCCAAAGCGUCCGAAGCUUCUCCGGAUCUGAAGCUCUGUCCGAAGCUUUGCACAGCCCUAUAAUGUACUGAUGUGAUGGGGAAUUCAGUCAUUCCACUACUGAAUAAACCCAAUGUAAACCCAAAAGUUCCUUAGUUUAACUGCACAUUCAAAUUCAGUAGGAUGUUGUUUCACAGAUAAAGGUGUUUGCAUACCAUUCCAGGAGGUUGUGUUGCUCAUAUGUGUUGCUCUUGUGCCUCAUAAAUUGUGACUGUAACCAGAGAGGCAAGGUUUCAAAGUAUGUACCAGUCUUCACUUCAAACAGGGAUACAGUAGUGUUGUUUGAUAUGAAGAAUGUAGUGUAAGCCUCCAAAUUACAACACUUUCUCUCAGAAUAAAAUUAACUUUCCUAAACA